Non-coding RNA from Salmo salar (Atlantic salmon), 54 nucleotides. NCBI's taxonomy places the organism in Eukaryota, Metazoa, Chordata, Actinopteri, Salmoniformes, Salmonidae. The record is from Rfam.
UGCACUCGCAACUGUAAGUCGCUCUGGAUAAGAACGUCUGCGAAAUGACUAAGA